UUGAUUCAUCCUUGGUUGCCUUCCUCUUCUUUGGCCUCUUCCUUCAUUCAAGUUCAUUGUCUAUUUUAGAUUUUUGUUUAAUAAACUUAUUAAGAUUUAGUGUUCGAAAUACAAGUUCAUCAUUGUCCUCAUCACUUGAGUCAUCGCUCAAGUGGCAUUCAUUUGUCCGGAGUUCCAAAUCCUUCCUAUUCUUUGGAAGGUGAUUGUGUUCAACAUGUUCAUCAUGUGCAUUGUGCACCAUUUCAUAUGUCA
This 252-nucleotide long non-coding RNA is filed under the name Musa acuminata (dwarf banana). RNAcentral's name for it is "long non-coding RNA (MACU_LNC007004)". The record is from RNAcentral. Lineage: Eukaryota; Viridiplantae; Streptophyta; Magnoliopsida; Zingiberales; Musaceae.